This 492-nucleotide ribosomal RNA is filed under the name uncultured bacterium. RNAcentral's name for it is "partial 16S ribosomal RNA". It matches the Rfam family "Bacterial small subunit ribosomal RNA", at positions 28 to 507 of the family's 1533-position model. The record is from RNAcentral.
GAUGAACGCUAGCUACAGGCUUAACACAUGCAAGUCGAGGGGAAACGACAUCGAAAGCUUGCUUUUGAUGGGCGUCGACCGGCGCACGGGUGAGUAACGCGUAUCCAACCUGCCCAUCACUUGGGAAUAACCUUGCGAAAGUAAGACUAAUACCCAAUGAUAUCCCACGAAGGCAUCGGAAUGGGAUUAAAGGUUUAUCGGUGAUGGAUGGGGAUGCGUCUGAUGAGCUUGUUGGCGGGGUAACGGCUCACGAAGGCAACGAUCAGUAGGGGUUCUGAGAGGAAGGUGCCCCAGAUUGGAACUGGGACACGGUCGAAACUGCUACGGGAGGCAGCAGUGAGGAAUACUGGUCAAUGGGAGAGAGCCUGAACCAGGCAAGUAGCGUGCAGGAAGACCGCCCUAGGGGUUGUAAACUGCUGUUAGAAGGGAAUAAAGUGGGUCAAGGGUGACUUUUUGCAGGUACCUUAUGAAUAAGGACCGGCUAACUACGUG